RNAcentral lists this ribosomal RNA (253 nucleotides) under uncultured bacterium. RNAcentral describes it as "partial 16S ribosomal RNA". It matches the Rfam family "Bacterial small subunit ribosomal RNA", at positions 524 to 776 of the family's 1533-position model. The record is from RNAcentral.
UACAGAGGGUGCAAGCGUUGCUCGGAAUUAUUGGGCGUAAAGGGUAGGUAGGUGGUCUCAUUUGUCUGGGGUGAAAUCCUUCGGCUUAACCGAAGAAGUGCCCCAGAAACGGUGAGACUAGAGUCCUGGAGAGGGUCGUGGAAUUCCCGGUGUAGCGGUGAAAUGCGUAGAGAUCGGGAGGAACACCAGAGGCGAAGGCGGCGACCUGGACAGGUACUGACACUCAACUACGAAAGCGUGGGGAGCAAACAGG